This 301-nucleotide ribosomal RNA is filed under the name uncultured bacterium. RNAcentral describes it as "partial 16S ribosomal RNA". It matches the Rfam family "Bacterial small subunit ribosomal RNA", at positions 509 to 808 of the family's 1533-position model. The record is from RNAcentral.
CAGCCGCCGCGGUAAAACGGGGGGGGCAAGUGUUAUUCGGAAUGACUGGGCGUAAAGGGCACGUAGGCGGUGAAAAGGGUGGAAAGUGAAAGUCGCCAAAACACUGGCGGGGUGCUUUCUUGACCAUUUCACUUGAGUGAGAUAGGGGAGAGUGGAAUUUCGUGUGGAGGGAUCAAAUCCUAAGAUAUACGAAGGAACGCCAACCGCGAAGGCAGCUCUCUGGGUCCCCACUGACGCUGGGGUGCGAAAGCAUGGGGAGCAAACAGGAUCAGAUACCCCAGUAGUCCCUGUCUCUUAUACA